Molecule: ribosomal RNA, 439 nt
Filed under: uncultured bacterium
Lineage: Bacteria
Description: partial 16S ribosomal RNA
Rfam family: Bacterial small subunit ribosomal RNA
Source: RNAcentral
CUACGGGAGGCACCAGUGAGGAAUAUUGCACAAUGGGGGAAACCCUGAUGCAGCAACGCCGCGUGGAGGAUGACGCAUUUCGGUGUGUAAACUCCUUUUAUAUGUCAAGAAAAUGACGGUAGCAUAUGAAUAAGCACCGGCUAACUCCGUGCCAGCAGCCGCGGUAAUACGGAGGGUGCAAGCGUUAUUCGGAAUCACUGGGCGUAAAGGACGCGUAGGCGGGUUUGCAAGUCAGGUGUGAAAUCCUAUGGCUCAACCAUAGAACUGCACUUGAAACUGCGAACCUAGAGUAUGGAAGGGGCAGAUGGAAUUAGUGGUGUAGGGGUAAAAUCCGUAGAUAUCACUAGGAAUACCAAAAGCGAAGGCGAUCUGCUGGGACAUUACUGACGCUAAGGCGUGAAAGCGUGGGGAGCAAACAGGAUUAGAUACCCCGGUAGUC